Molecule: ribosomal RNA, 253 nt
Filed under: uncultured bacterium
Lineage: Bacteria
Description: partial 16S ribosomal RNA
Rfam family: Bacterial small subunit ribosomal RNA
Source: RNAcentral
UACGAAGGGGGCUAGCGUUGUUCGGAAUUACUGGGCGUAAAGCGUGCGCAGGCGGUGAUGUAAGACAGAUGUGAAAUCCCCGGGCUCAACCUGGGAACUGCAUUUGUGACUGCAUCGCUGGAGUGCGGCAGAGGGGGAUGGAAUUCCGCGUGUAGCAGUGAAAUGCGUAGAUAUCGAGAGGAACACCAGUGGCGAAGGCGAGUCUCUGGACGACUCCUGACACUGAGGCACGAAAGCUAGGGGAGCAAACAGG